AUGACGUUCAGAAGAGAUUUAAUUGGACCCAGACUCCAAUCAUGGUACAUCCUGCUCCAACUGUUGUCCACAGUGCAUUUGUCAUAUGGGUCUGAUGUAUUUCGAUGGAACCUACCUGGGAAUGGGCAAUUCUUAGUGGAAUCUAUGUAUAGAGCAUUAAUCCAGUCUAAUGUGCCAGAUGAUAAUAAUAAGAAGAUCUGAAAGAUAAAGAUACCUCUUAAGAAUAAAAUAUUUGCAUGGUAUCUUCGUCGUGGAGUCAUUCUGACUAAAGAUAACCUUAUCAAGAGGAAAUGGCAUGAAAGUCCGCAAUGUAUUUUUUAUCAUCACAAUGAGACAAUAAAACAUUUAUUCUUCCAAUGCAAAUUGGCUCGAUCUAUAUGGUCAGCCAUCCAGAUAACUAGUCAUCCAGAUAACUUCUGGCUUGUAUCCUCUUUGUAG
Molecule: ribosomal RNA, 438 nt
Filed under: Triticum aestivum (bread wheat)
Lineage: Eukaryota; Viridiplantae; Streptophyta; Magnoliopsida; Poales; Poaceae
Description: partial small subunit ribosomal RNA
Source: RNAcentral